UACGACAGGACUGUGCACCUAACUUGGAUCCAAGGUAAGCGUAUGGUGCGGGAGGUGAACAUUACAUGAAGGACUAUGCCCCUAACCAUGGGCGGGAGCACUAACAUCGAGGUGCAUGUUUAUAAAUUCUUAACACAUCUCGCAUAAUCAUCAAAUCACAUAUAAACGGUCUACAACUUACCUGGUACUCACCUGAGCGUCCACAACGUCAAAUCAUAUUUAUGCAAACUAUAGUAAUUCAUACUCUAAGUAUAAAUCAAUAUGCAUGGCAUUUCAAAACAUAAUCUCAUUUAAACGCAUUUUC
This 304-nucleotide long non-coding RNA is filed under the name Malus domestica (apple). RNAcentral's name for it is "long non-coding RNA (MDOM_LNC018827)". The record is from RNAcentral. Lineage: Eukaryota; Viridiplantae; Streptophyta; Magnoliopsida; Rosales; Rosaceae.